GCCCAGGUGGCGGAACUGGUAGACGCGCUAGAUUCAGGUUCUAGUGGCCGCAAGGCCGUGGAGGUUCGAGUCCUCUCCUGGGCACCA
RNAcentral lists this transfer RNA (87 nucleotides) under Alphaproteobacteria bacterium. RNAcentral describes it as "tRNA-Leu". It matches the Rfam family "tRNA". Rfam says of the family: Transfer RNA (tRNA) molecules are approximately 80 nucleotides in length. Their secondary structure includes four short double-helical elements and three loops (D, anti-codon, and T loops). The record is from RNAcentral. Lineage: Bacteria; Pseudomonadati; Pseudomonadota; Alphaproteobacteria.